Struthio camelus australis is the source of this 390-nucleotide non-coding RNA. The record is from RefSeq and is a predicted model, not a curated record. Lineage: Eukaryota; Metazoa; Chordata; Aves; Struthioniformes; Struthionidae.
UUUCCCAUUUUCUCAGACACAUCUGGAAGAAGCACAAGCUGCCCUGAGACCAGCCAACAAGAAGGCAAGGACCUUAGCGUUCCAGCGGGAGCCGUGUAGCAGGUGAAGUCAGAUGUGACCAGGCCACAGAGAGCUGGGUCCAUGGAUGAGAUAGCAGUGUCUGUUGCUUUCAGCUGAUUCAUUAACAGACCAAAAGACUUGCUGAUCAUUCAAGCAAUCACCUCAGGACAGUAUCUGAAAUUCUUCUGUGUUCACCUGUUAUCAGUGGUUCUGCAGGAAAUCCCACUGUGAAGGUACAAAAGCCUGUGCACAUGUACCCAGAGUAUCCUCACAGGCAGCCUGCAACAAACCACCCUUAUUCAUCUGUUUGCUGAAAGAAGAGGCGAAUAA